Molecule: ribosomal RNA, 440 nt
Filed under: uncultured bacterium
Lineage: Bacteria
Description: bacterial SSU rRNA
Rfam family: Bacterial small subunit ribosomal RNA
Source: RNAcentral
CUACGGGAGGCAGCAGUGGGGAAUAUUGGACAAUGGGCGAAAGCCUGAUCCAGCAAUGCCGCGUGAGUGAUGAAGGCCCUAGGGUUGUAAAGCUCUUUUACCCGGGAUGAUAAUGACAGUACCGGGAGAAUAAGCUCCGGCUAACUUCGUGCCAGCAGCCGCGGUAAUACGAGGGGAGCUAGCGUUGUUCGGAAUUACUGGGCGUAAAGCGCGCGUAGGCGGUUUUUUAAGUCAGAGGUGAAAGCCCGGGGCUCAACCCCGGAAUUGCCUUUGAAACUGGAAAACUAGAAUCUUGGAGAGGUCAGUGGAAUUCCGAGUGUAGAGGUGAAAUUCGUAGAUAUUCGGAAGAACACCAGUGGCGAAGGCGACUGACUGGACAAGUAUUGACGCUGAGGCACGAAAGCGUGGGGAGCAAACAGGAUUAGAUACCCUAGUAGUCC